Molecule: ribosomal RNA, 1484 nt
Filed under: Vibrio cholerae
Lineage: Bacteria; Pseudomonadati; Pseudomonadota; Gammaproteobacteria; Vibrionales; Vibrionaceae
Description: bacterial LSU rRNA
Rfam family: Bacterial large subunit ribosomal RNA
Source: RNAcentral
GGGGGGACGGAGAAGGCUAGGUGGGCCAGGCGACGGUUGUCCUGGUUCAAGUGCGUAGGCUUGAGAGUUAGGUAAAUCCGGCUCUCUCUAAGGCUGAGACACGACGUCGAGCUGCUACGGCAGUGAAGUCAUUGAUGCCAUGCUUCCAGGAAAAGCCUCUAAGCUUCAGAUAGUCAGGAAUCGUACCCCAAACCGACACAGGUGGUCGGGUAGAGAAUACCAAGGCGCUUGAGAGAACUCGGGUGAAGGAACUAGGCAAAAUGGUACCGUAACUUCGGGAGAAGGUACGCUCUUGAUGGUGAAGUCCCUCGCGGAUGGAGCUGACGAGAGUCGCAGAUACCAGGUGGCUGCAACUGUUUAUUAAAAACACAGCACUGUGCAAAAUCGCAAGAUGACGUAUACGGUGUGACGCCUGCCCGGUGCCGGAAGGUUAAUUGAUGGGGUUAGCGCAAGCGAAGCUCUUGAUCGAAGCCCCGGUAAACGGCGGCCGUAACUAUAACGGUCCUAAGGUAGCGAAAUUCCUUGUCGGGUAAGUUCCGACCUGCACGAAUGGCGUAAUGAUGGCCACGCUGUCUCCACCCGAGACUCAGUGAAAUUGAAAUCGCUGUGAAGAUGCAGUGUACCCGCGGCUAGACGGAAAGACCCCGUGAACCUUUACUACAGCUUGGCACUGAACAUUGAACCUACAUGUGUAGGAUAGGUGGGAGGCUAUGAAGACGUGACGCCAGUUGCGUUGGAGCCGUCCUUGAAAUACCACCCUUGUAUGUUUGAUGUUCUAACUUAGACCCAUUAUCUGGGUUGAGGACAGUGCCUGGUGGGUAGUUUGACUGGGGCGGUCUCCUCCCAAAGAGUAACGGAGGAGCACGAAGGUGGGCUAAUCACGGUUGGACAUCGUGAGGUUAGUGCAAUGGCAUAAGCCCGCUUAACUGCGAGAAUGACGGUUCGAGCAGGUGCGAAAGCAGGUCAUAGUGAUCCGGUGGUUCUGUAUGGAAGGGCCAUCGCUCAACGGAUAAAAGGUACUCCGGGGAUAACAGGCUGAUACCGCCCAAGAGUUCAUAUCGACGGCGGUGUUUGGCACCUCGAUGUCGGCUCAUCACAUCCUGGGGCUGAAGUCGGUCCCAAGGGUAUGGCUGUUCGCCAUUUAAAGUGGUACGCGAGCUGGGUUUAGAACGUCGUGAGACAGUUCGGUCCCUAUCUGCCGUGGGCGUUGGAAGAUUGAAGGGGGCUGCUCCUAGUACGAGAGGACCGGAGUGGACGAACCUCUGGUGUUCGGGUUGUGUCGCCAGACGCAUUGCCCGGUAGCUAAGUUCGGAAUUGAUAAGCGCUGAAAGCAUCUAAGCGCGAAGCGAGCCCUGAGAUGAGUCUUCCCUGAUACUUUAAGUAUCCUAAAGGGUUGUUCGAGACUAGAACGUUGAUAGGCAGGGUGUGUAAGCGUUGUGAGGCGUUGAGCUAACCUGUACUAAUUGCCCGUGAGGCUUAACCAU